RNAcentral lists this small nuclear RNA (182 nucleotides) under Dermacentor silvarum. RNAcentral's name for it is "U2 spliceosomal RNA". It matches the Rfam family "U2 spliceosomal RNA". Rfam says of the family: U2 is a small nuclear RNA (snRNA) component of the spliceosome (involved in pre-mRNA splicing). Lineage: Eukaryota; Metazoa; Arthropoda; Arachnida; Ixodida; Ixodidae. The record is from RNAcentral.
AUAGUGUAAAUAAAAUUUUUCUAAACAGUACCUGUUCUUAUCAGCUUAAUAUCUGGUAUGGCCCUAUGAUGGGUCUUUGAUAUUAACUUUAUUUUUGGAAAGCGGCGCCGUGUACGGGGCUUGCCCUCACGGCGCCACGGGUCGUUCCGACGUUGUACUACAGCCGGCACGGCCCACUGUCG